UUUCUUUUACGUUAAGUAUUGAUGAUAGCUAUCAGACUUGUGGGUAUUAUUACUCUUCUAAGUCGUAGUGACAGGUUUUAUAGCCUAUGACACAUACAGUGGUGAUAAGCUCCAUGUAAAACUAAGGUCAUCGGAUCUGCACGGCCUUGCGCGGUCGCCGACCAAAGAUGACACCACAAUCUGCGGUAUUUCGGAUUCCUCGCCUCUUAAUCGUCUAAAUUAUUAAUCAUGCUAAUAUUAAAAUAAUAUAUAACUUAUUUACAACGAAUAAAGUACAAUUUUAAAUGUGACAAUUU
RNAcentral lists this unclassified non-coding RNA (296 nucleotides) under Melitaea cinxia (Glanville fritillary). RNAcentral describes it as "misc RNA ENSMCXG00005009936.1". Lineage: Eukaryota; Metazoa; Arthropoda; Insecta; Lepidoptera; Nymphalidae. The record is from RNAcentral.